RNAcentral lists this ribosomal RNA (382 nucleotides) under uncultured eukaryote. Its description in RNAcentral is "partial 18S ribosomal RNA". It matches the Rfam family "Eukaryotic small subunit ribosomal RNA", at positions 592 to 976 of the family's 1831-position model. The record is from RNAcentral.
UGUAAGCGUAUACCAAAGUUGUUGCAGUUAAAACGCUCGUAGUCGGAAUUUGGCAGUUCCGGAUGUGUGCACGUCGUGUGCGCACUUCGCGGGGAUUGCUUUUGUGGUCUUGCGUAGGAUGAGGCACUUUUAUUAGUGAACGUCCUCACGCAACCACUUUUUACUGUGAGAAAAUCAGAGUGCUCAAAGCAGGCAUUUGCCGUGAAUGUAUUAGCAUGGAAUAAUAGAAUAGGACUUGGUUCUAUUUUGUUGGUUUGUUGGGACUGAGUAAUGAUUAAGAGGGACAGUUGGGGGCAUUUGUAUUUCGGUGCUAGAGGUGAAAUUCUUAGAUUACCGAAAGACAAACUGCUGCGAAAGCGUCUGCCACGGAUGUUUUCAUUGA